Molecule: long non-coding RNA, 1195 nt
Organism: Panicum virgatum (switchgrass)
Lineage: Eukaryota; Viridiplantae; Streptophyta; Magnoliopsida; Poales; Poaceae
Exons: 2
Source: RefSeq, a predicted model, not a curated record
ACGGUGCUCGUCCUUAGAAGAAGGACAUGAGAGCCGUAGGUCCGCUGCAUUUCGUCGAGCUUUCCACAUCGUUCACGGGCAGCAGACAUCUCUGCCUCGCAGUUUCGCCGUCCCUCCCAGCUAGUAGAGUUCUCCACUUCUAUAUAAUUAAACAGCUCGUCCGGUAAGAAGAAGAGAACGACGCACGCAGCCAACCACCACACCUCCUUCUUCCUUCUCUGGAUAUCAUUCACACCACCUCGCUCCCCUUCAUCCCAUCAUCACCUGCCUACCUUAGGUCUUGUCUGAUCACCAUCAGUUGGUGGGUGUGAUUAUUCGCAGGGCGCACGCUGCUGAGAUCAGCUUGUGACCACUGUCCUCUCUAAUGGGGGAAAUGGUGGCUUCGACUCUUGCUCAGGAGGGCGUGAGCAGGGUGUUCUCGUCCAUCUCAACCAAGCUCGAUGACAGGGCGUCCAGAGCUCACAACGUCGCGAGGCUCGAGAUGGCACUCUCUCGCUUGGAGUUUGUCCUUGAGUGGGCCAGGAAGCGGCCAAUCACAUACGUCUCCCUCAUCCGUCGCUGGGGCAUGUUCAGUCGCGCCUACAACGAGGGAGUUGAUCUGCUCAACAAGCACAAGCUGCCAGCAGCGCUCGAAGGCCACGCAGAAACUGGGCAAGUGGUGGUAAGGAGUUCCUACUACUACCUCCAACGGAUUGCUGGUGCUGCAUAUUUCUCCCUCUCUUCUCUUGCUGGCCUUAACAAGCAGUGCUUGAGCUCAUCCGUUGUCCAAAUCUUUGAGGGGUACGCAGACAGUGCUGACAAGUUUGUAGCGGACGUGGAGUCCGCCUGCCCACUCCGGCGCGACACCUUCUUCCCCUACCCAUUUGUCAGGAAACUUCUCCAAGGGAGACGUCUCAUCUACCAUAAGAGGGUGAAAGGAAGCCAAGUGCUCUGGUUUGAUAUAUGUCCUGUGGUUUCGGAAGGGCGUGGCGUGGAGGCAUAUCUACCAUAUCUAUGGUUUCGAUCCCGAGAGGCUAGAUAAAAGUUUCAGCCUAUUCUUAUUGCUACGGCUGUCGGAAAGCACGGACAUAGUUGGGACUGCUAUAGAUUGCGUGCAGUCAUCCGCAUCACUGCUCAACCUUCCAGCUCAAGAUGCAAUAAUUGGACAUCUCACCCAAGUGCGUAAUUUACAGGAGAUUUCAGAUUCGUAUGCUCC